GUAAGGGUGAAAUGGUGCGGUAAGAGCGCACCGCGCUGCUGGUAACAGUAGUGGCAGGGUAAACCCCACUCGGAGCAAGACCAAAUAGGAAAACUAUGGUGCUGCCCGCACUGUUUUCGGGUUGGUUGCUUGAGAAUCGUUGGUGACAAUGGUUCCAGAUGAAUGAUUAUCCACGACAGAACCCGGCUUACAGGCUGACUUACUUU
RNAcentral lists this RNase P RNA (206 nucleotides) under Gammaproteobacteria bacterium. RNAcentral describes it as "partial RNase P RNA component class A". It matches the Rfam family "Bacterial RNase P class A", at positions 148 to 367 of the family's 367-position model. From Rfam's summary of the family: Ribonuclease P (RNase P) is a ubiquitous endoribonuclease, found in archaea, bacteria and eukarya as well as chloroplasts and mitochondria. Its best characterised activity is the generation of mature 5'-ends of tRNAs by cleaving the 5'-leader elements of precursor-tRNAs. Cellular RNase Ps are ribonucleoproteins. The record is from RNAcentral. Lineage: Bacteria; Pseudomonadati; Pseudomonadota; Gammaproteobacteria.